UGGAGGCUACAUGUUCAGGGAUAUUUCUAUAGUUCCUUAUUAGAGAAGGUUCUCUGCACACACACAGAGCAACAGAGACCACGAGGAGGAGACGGGGCAUGGCCCUGAUCAGGAAGCUGCUCCUGGUGUUGCUUUGCCCUUUGCAGCCGAUGACCCUUCUCUCCUUUCAGGAGAGGUAGGGGGUGGG
Non-coding RNA from Otolemur garnettii (small-eared galago), 187 nucleotides. The record is from Rfam. Lineage: Eukaryota; Metazoa; Chordata; Mammalia; Primates; Galagidae.